Molecule: non-coding RNA, 315 nt
Organism: Macaca mulatta (Rhesus monkey)
Lineage: Eukaryota; Metazoa; Chordata; Mammalia; Primates; Cercopithecidae
Source: RefSeq, a predicted model, not a curated record
UGAGCCAAUUAAACCUCUUUUCAUUAUGAAUUACCCAGUCUCAGCAACCAUGAGAACAAGCCUGAGCUAAACUGCUGGAUGAUAAGCGACCAGUGUCCCAGUCACCGACUUCACCAUAACUAAUAACCUGCUUAAUUGUCAGGCAUGCGAGUGAGCUCACCCUUGACCAGCCUGCCCUAGCUGACCCCUCCAGCUGACUGCACCCUCUUGAGGGUGUGUAGUCACUGUUUCAGGCCCAGCUGAAGUCAAUAGAGACCAAUUGAGCCUGGCCCAGAUGACUUAUCAAUUUGUGAAUAAAGUUCUUUCUGUUUGAAA